ACAUGUUGGAUAGGGUGUCUUGUAAAUUAAUGCCACUUGGCAUGGCAGGCCCCACGAGACUUGGCUUUCAGUUUCUUUGGCUGUGAGAAAGAAUUUCUUAAUCAGGAAGGUAAAGGGCAUAGCAGUGGAUCUCAGAAUGAUACUCUGAAGCUGUUUCGCUGUUGCUUCAGCCAGGCACAACCACUUCUUACCAUCUCCCUCAUGACCACCUUGGUUCAAGCCAACAUCUCCGGGCACUGGGUUCCUUUGGCUGCCCCCAGGU
Molecule: long non-coding RNA, 262 nt
Filed under: Pan troglodytes (chimpanzee)
Lineage: Eukaryota; Metazoa; Chordata; Mammalia; Primates; Hominidae
Description: long non-coding RNA NONPTRT015462
Source: RNAcentral